CGAUUGGAUAGCAUCUUUGGAUGUGAAACUCGCCUGUAAUCCCGGCAUCAUCGCGCAAGCGGUGUGGCGACUGCUCUUGCUGCUGCGGCAGCAAUCUU
The submitters of this non-coding RNA (98 nucleotides) gave its source as unclassified sequences. The record is from Rfam.